GCGGGGCUGCGGGGUGCGUCGGAGACGCAAUCCCCGGGGCCUUAUCGAUCCUCAAGGGAGCUGUCCCUGGCCGAGCUCGUGGGCUCGGACAUAUGGCGCCCACCUACGUUGUAGGUACCCGGGAUCGAACGCUCCGACGGCCAGCGCGGCUCCGCA
This 156-nucleotide non-coding RNA is filed under the name Alphaproteobacteria bacterium. RNAcentral's name for it is "6S RNA". It matches the Rfam family "6S / SsrS RNA". From Rfam's summary of the family: E. coli 6S RNA was the first non coding RNA to be sequenced, but its function was unknown until recently. The record is from RNAcentral. Lineage: Bacteria; Pseudomonadati; Pseudomonadota; Alphaproteobacteria.